CCUCAACACCCACCGUGGGGGAAGGAGGUUCUCAUUUCUUUGAGGUGUUUUGAGGGCCGUGCGGAGCCAGGGUGCCUGGGUUUGGAUCCCAGCUUGACCACUCUGGGCUCUGGCAUCUUGGGGCAGCAUCUUGCUAGGAGAGCUUUUUGGAACCUUGGUUUGGUUUUGAAGAAAAGCAGAUUAGUCUACUCAAAUCUGCCACCCUGGUUCACCUUAUGAAACCACCAAGGCCACCUAGACUUGGGCUCACCUUGAACUUGCGCUGAAGUUCACAUCCUACCACCUCUGCGCUCACCAGGCCCGACUGAGAAGGAGGCUGUCAAAACCCUGGGCGGCUUCAAGUCCUACAAUCUGAGUUCCUGACAACUUAUUGCCUCCUUGGCCUGAACUUGUGCCGAGGAUGUUCACACACACCCCAAGGAAAAAAAAACUUCCUGGGCUGGAGAGAUGGCUUAGCGGUUAAGCGCUUGCCUGUGAAGCCUAAGGACCCUGGUUUGAAGCUCGAUUUCCCAGGACCCACGUUAACCAGAUGCA
Molecule: long non-coding RNA, 534 nt
Organism: Jaculus jaculus (lesser Egyptian jerboa)
Lineage: Eukaryota; Metazoa; Chordata; Mammalia; Rodentia; Dipodidae
Exons: 3
Source: RefSeq, a predicted model, not a curated record